UGGUGGAGUGAUUUGUCUGCUUAAUUGCGAUAACGAACGAGACCUUAACCUGCUAAAUAGCCUGAAUCGCUUUGGCGGUACGCUGGCUUCUUAGAGGGACUAUCGGCUCAAGCCGAUGGAAGUUUGAGGCAAUAACA
This 137-nucleotide ribosomal RNA is filed under the name uncultured eukaryote. RNAcentral describes it as "partial 18S ribosomal RNA". It matches the Rfam family "Eukaryotic small subunit ribosomal RNA", at positions 1299 to 1458 of the family's 1831-position model. The record is from RNAcentral.